AGGACAUAGUGUGUGUUAGACUUGAAGAUUUGUGUAGUUCCUAACUUGGGCUUAUCGAACAAAUUCCUGAAUUCUGAGACGAAAUGUAGCUGAAUGGCUUGUGCAAUGGACAAUCGACUCGUGCAAUGGACAGGUUUUCACAUUUCUUGUGUACUGUCGACAGGGUGCUUUCUUCCUCCAUCUAUUCGUAAGUGUGGGGAUUCCCCCUCUGUACAGCUUACAGCUUGGGUGUCCAACGGUCCGUAAUCAACAGUCACCCGCACUCCAAGUCUGCAAAAACCUCUGGUCUAGUUCACGUACCGACUUCACAGUUUAUCUUGCCCUCUCCUUCUCAAUAAACCAAUCUCAGUGCUCUGGAUCUGAUUAAACUAAUGUUGUAUCUCGGUCGUGUCUUCUGCUCAUCUCACAUCCCUCGGACCCUGCAGACACCAAACCUCCGACGUCUUACGUCAUAUCCUCUCCUCCCAUCAUGCAACGGACAAGCAUGUUUGUUUGAUUAGUGAUUUGGAAUUCUGUCCAUGGCAACAAAAGAAGGAGAUGACUAUUGGGGAAAAAUGAUUGAAGGUUAGGGGAAAGUACCUAAAUUUAAAUUUUACUCAGAUAUCAAAUGAGAAGUGACCGAUAGAGGUCAUUUGAUCUUUGAACCAAUAUUGGAAAAAUGUGCUUCUCUUUGUACUGCAAAAUAUACACAGAAUAUUUAGAUUAUAUUUGUAUUAUUAUAUAUUUUGUAGAACACUGAUUGGCCCAUUUUCACAUCCUUGUGGUUCAUGUGUUUCAUUUCAUCCCAAAUCUUUUUCGUUAAUGAAAUUCAGCCUUCCCAAAUUGCCACUUUUUAAUAUCACAGUGUUUCGGCCAACACUAUUUUUUUCAGUGUGACAUGUCUA
Non-coding RNA from Pelobates cultripes (western spadefoot toad), 884 nucleotides. Lineage: Eukaryota; Metazoa; Chordata; Amphibia; Anura; Pelobatidae. The record is from the annotation of a GenBank genome assembly.